Long non-coding RNA from Engraulis encrasicolus (European anchovy), 268 nucleotides. RefSeq lists it as uncharacterized. The transcript is spliced from 3 exons. NCBI's taxonomy places the organism in Eukaryota, Metazoa, Chordata, Actinopteri, Clupeiformes, Engraulidae. The record is from RefSeq and is a predicted model, not a curated record.
UCUUCCCACUGCUGAGACCCUUUCUCUGUCUUUCCCACAUCGGAGGCAUCGGCCAGUGCCAGUGAAGUAAGGAGGAGGAACCGACUGCUGGAAGGGACGGUAACCUGGCUGGAGCAGAAGCAGCAACAGAAGUAGCAGAAGGUGUGUGUCUGGCUGUGGCAGUCCACCCAUCAGGUCCUGAAGGAGACCAGGGAGUCUACAUGGGAAGCCUAAAUCCCACCAGGCUCAACGGAGGAGGAGGAGGAGGAGGAGGCAGGUUUAAAAAAAG